Molecule: ribosomal RNA, 440 nt
Filed under: uncultured bacterium
Lineage: Bacteria
Description: partial 16S ribosomal RNA
Rfam family: Bacterial small subunit ribosomal RNA
Source: RNAcentral
CCUACGGGGGGCAGCAGUGGGGAAUAUUGCACAAUGGGGGAAACCCUGAUGCAGCGACGCCGCGUGAGUGAAGAAGUAUUUAGGUAUGUAAAGCUCUAUCAGCAGGGAAGAAAAUGACGGUACCUGAUUAAGAAGCCCCGGCUAACUACGUGCCAGCAGCCGCGGUAAUACGUAGGGGUCAAGCGUUAUCCGGAUGUGCUGGGUGUAAAGGGGGCGUAGACGGCAGCACAAGUCUGGAGGGAAAUGCCGGGGCUUAACCCAGGAACUGCUUUGGAAACUGUGCAGCUAGAGUGCAGGAGAGGUAAGUGGAAUGCCUGGUGUAGCGGUGAAAUGCGUAGAUAUUAGGAGGAACACCAGUGGCGAAGGCGGCUUACUGGACUGUAACUGACGUUGAGGCUCGAAAGCGUGGGGAGCAAACAGGAUUAGAUACCCGGGUAGUC